GGUGCCGGAUAGCUCACUUGGUUAAAGCACCGCGUUGCAGUCACGGUGCGGGUUCGAGCCCCGGUCGUACCA
Non-coding RNA from Gymnothorax javanicus (giant moray), 72 nucleotides. The record is from the annotation of a GenBank genome assembly. Lineage: Eukaryota; Metazoa; Chordata; Actinopteri; Anguilliformes; Muraenidae.